UGGGGAAUUUUCCGCAAUGGGCGAAAGCCUGACGGAGCAACGCCGCGUGGGUGAUGAAGGAUUUCGGUCUGUAAAGCCCUUUCAGUCGGGACGAGACGAAGACGGUACCGACAGAAGAAGCAUCGGCUAACUACGUGCCAGCAGCCGCGGUAAUACGUAGGAUGCAAGCGUUAUCCGGAAUUAUUGGGCGUAAAGCGAACGUAGGCGGUUUCUUAAGUUUGGGGUUAAAGACCAAGGCUCAACCUUGGGAGUGCCCUGAAUACUGGGAGGCUGGAGGACGGCAGAGGAAAGUGGAAUUCCCAGUGUAGCGGUGAAAUGCGUAGAUAUUGGGAGGAACACCAGUGGCGAAAGCGACUUUCUGGGCCGUUCCUGACGCUGAGGUUCGAAAGCCAGGGGAGCA
Molecule: ribosomal RNA, 400 nt
Filed under: uncultured bacterium
Lineage: Bacteria
Description: bacterial SSU rRNA
Rfam family: Bacterial small subunit ribosomal RNA
Source: RNAcentral